Molecule: transfer RNA, 71 nt
Filed under: Muribaculaceae bacterium
Lineage: Bacteria; Pseudomonadati; Bacteroidota; Bacteroidia; Bacteroidales; Muribaculaceae
Description: tRNA-Gln
Rfam family: tRNA
About the family: Transfer RNA (tRNA) molecules are approximately 80 nucleotides in length. Their secondary structure includes four short double-helical elements and three loops (D, anti-codon, and T loops).
Source: RNAcentral
UGCCUUGUGGUGUAAUGGUAGCACACCGGAUUCUGGUUCCGUUUGUGAGAGUUCGAGUCUUUCCUAGGGGU